This is a non-coding RNA of Acanthosepion pharaonis, 112 nucleotides long. NCBI's taxonomy places the organism in Eukaryota, Metazoa, Mollusca, Cephalopoda, Sepiida, Sepiidae. The record is from the annotation of a GenBank genome assembly.
UUACGGCCACAUCUUGUCGAAACAUCGGUUCCCGGACGAUCAUCAAAGUUAAGCAAGUCGAGCCUGGUCAGUACCUAGAUGGGUGACUGCCCGAGAAUACCAGGUGCUGUAA